This 253-nucleotide ribosomal RNA is filed under the name uncultured bacterium. Its description in RNAcentral is "partial 16S ribosomal RNA". It matches the Rfam family "Bacterial small subunit ribosomal RNA", at positions 524 to 776 of the family's 1533-position model. The record is from RNAcentral.
GACGUAGGGCGCGAGCGUUGUCCGGAUUUAUUGGGCGUAAAGAGCUCGUAGGCGGCUUGUCGCGUCGUCCGUGAAAACCUGCAGCUCAACUGCAGGCUUGCGGUCGAUACGGGCAGGCUAGAGUUCGGUAGGGGAGACUGGAAUUCCUGGUGUAGCGGUGAAAUGCGCAGAUAUCAGGAGGAACACCGGUGGCGAAGGCGGGUCUCUGGGCCGAUACUGACGCUGAGGCGCGAAAGCUAGGGGAGCAAACGGG